GGGGCGAAAAUAGCGUCAAAAAACGAGUGAGCGAAGAGGUUUUCCUUGAAACAAUAUGCCCACACCGUCAGAGAUUGGGGUGGCGGGUUUUCGCCUUCUUCUCCCUUCUCCAUCGAACCUUCUUAUCAAUUUUCGAGAAAAAAA
This is a non-coding RNA of Caenorhabditis elegans, 144 nucleotides long. NCBI's taxonomy places the organism in Eukaryota, Metazoa, Nematoda, Chromadorea, Rhabditida, Rhabditidae. The record is from Ensembl.